UACUGGGAACAGAGGAAAUGGAC
RNAcentral lists this non-coding RNA (23 nucleotides) under Cricetulus griseus (Chinese hamster). The record is from RNAcentral. Lineage: Eukaryota; Metazoa; Chordata; Mammalia; Rodentia; Cricetidae.